AAUAUCUAUUAUUUGUAAUUUGGUUAAUUUAGCAACGAUUUUGAUGAUAAAAUAUUAGCAACAUUAAUCCUACUAUAUAAAAGGGGCUAAAUCAUUGCUUCCUAAACCAUGCCACAUGGGCAAAAAUAUUGAGAACUAAUCAAUAUGCCAUGUCAUCUCUUACUGGAUCUGAAAUUAAAAAAAAGUUUCAACAAUUCGCAGCCCAUUUGACCCAUCUCCUAACCCAAUCCCGCGUCUCUCUUGAUUACGUAUUUCUCUCUUCUAAACAUGACCAUGUGGGCAAUUCUGUGAGUCCCAAUUUUUUUUCUUUUUUCCUUUUGUCGUCUUAAAUUUAAAGCAAAAUCCAACAGUCGGAGAAUUCGAUUUUGUAACGUCGUCCACCACCAUCAAAGCUAUGAACAGCUUCAACUCCAUUAUGUCAUCCAUGCUCUUCAUCUCCCUUGACUCCACCUAUAUAAAUUCCCCUGAAUCCAAAUCUCAUCUGGUAGCUUCCAUGGAUGAGAAACAAUCAGAUUUCCAGCCCCAAAGCUCCGGCAAUAUCGACCACCGUAUUCAUGGCUAAGAAUCCGAAAUCACCACCAAAGCUCCAACUGAAUCGACCACCGGUUUCAUGGAUAAGAAAAAGGGGCUGCUUGGCUCCAUCUACAGCCCUGAUCCUGCAAAAAACAAGAUCUUCAUAGGGCUUGAUCUGUUAUUUAUGGCAAAGAGAUAUGGCCUGAUAUUCUAUGUCCCUGAAUUUCAUAUUUUUUUGUAUCAUCUAACCUAAUUCUACACCUCAACAUGAAUAUGUGAUACAAGGUGCAUAACUCAGAACCGUGUGAGCCGGUAUAAACAUUUUCUGAAACGUUGCUCUCAGCCUCUUUAACCUCUUAUCUUAAUUUUUGUAACACUUUCAAGGUCCUAUCCAUUCUUCAAAACAGAGUUUAGCGAUUGAGUUCGACUGGUUCUGGUUCUAUUCAUCCAAAGAGUUUGAAGCAGGUUGUGUUCUUAAAGGCGAUCUGUAUGGUAAUGUAUAGGUUGUGUUGUCGAAUAGAAUAUAUUAUGCAAAUAGUAUGGCAAUCCAGGGAAUAUCAAGCCCUAUAUUAAGUGACGAUUUGAUUUAAUUAUUUAAACAGUGUUAUUCAAAAUCUUGAAUGGAUCGUUUCUCAGUCAUGUUGUUGUUGCAGGUAGAUCUUCAAGACUCUGCUUUUGAGUUAUGUUGAUGCAAGUGGGAGCGGUUUAGUAGCGGAAAUAUAGUAUAUCAGUGACAGAAAGCAUAAAGAAGAUCCGCUUCAUUACAUUGCUGCCGUAAGUCUCAAACUGACAAGACAAUGAUAGAUGUUGCAAAGUCUAAAGACAGCCAAGAGCAGCAUGAGCCAGUGAAAGCCAACACCUGUGACUGUUCUCCUGUCUCAAUCCUUAAACCGCUAACACCUCCAGAAACACCAAAUAAAGAAAGUCCAACUAUAGGAAGCUCUUUUGUGCAAGAUAAACUGCAUCCUGGUGCAGCUAUGACUACCGAGGAAAGAGCUGGUGUCACCACUCAGAAAGGAUUCGCUAACGGAGCGUGAAGAUAAUCAUAGUUAGGUUAGUGAUGUAUCAAUGGAGCCUAAGGUUGUGUGAGAAGAGGUUGAAUUAUCUCCCACCAGAAGUUUUGAGCAUAACAACUUUAAAGUUUAGAGUGAAUGGCGUCGAGUCUGUGCAGGCUGUACUGAACCUGGAGCAAGGAGAAACACUCCCCCUGAGGAUGAUGGAAAUAAAACUACUCAAAACUCAAAGUUACCAGAAGGCAAGGAAAACUACUCUGAAACUAUUGCUUUAGGAAGCAAGUUUGGUGGUCAAGUUUCUUAUGGUGGAGAGCAUAAAGAAGGUAUGAAUUGUGGCCGAAUGAUAAAUGUGAGCGAAAACAAGACUGUAAGGGUGGUUAACUCGAACGAGGGUGAAGAUGGAUCGUUUUUCACAUUCAGAACGGUAUCUGCAACCUGUAAAGCCCAUUGCAAAGCAUGUUCCACUGAUAAUACAAGUCGGUGAAUGUAACUCUCGGAAUGAUUCUCGAAUUUUCUAUGGCAAUGAUUCAUUUUAUGUUCUUUUUA
This is an RNA transcript of Brassica napus (rape), 2072 nucleotides long. It is a transcript of the gene named paired amphipathic helix protein Sin3-like 5, with no coding region annotated. Lineage: Eukaryota; Viridiplantae; Streptophyta; Magnoliopsida; Brassicales; Brassicaceae. The transcript has 4 exons. The record is from RefSeq and is a predicted model, not a curated record.